GCCCGGCUAACUCAGUCGGUAGAGCAUGAGACUCCUAAUCUCAGGGUCGUGGGUCCGAGCCCCAUGUUGGGUG
Molecule: transfer RNA, 73 nt
Filed under: Danio rerio (zebrafish)
Lineage: Eukaryota; Metazoa; Chordata; Actinopteri; Cypriniformes; Danionidae
Description: tRNA-Arg (CCT) (tRNA-Arg-CCT-5-1)
Rfam family: tRNA
About the family: Transfer RNA (tRNA) molecules are approximately 80 nucleotides in length. Their secondary structure includes four short double-helical elements and three loops (D, anti-codon, and T loops).
Source: Rfam by way of RNAcentral